UGGGGAAUAUUGCACAAUGGGCGAAAGCCUGAUGCAGCGACGCCGCGUGAGGGAUGACGGCCUUCGGGUUGUAAACCUCUUUCAGCAGGGCCGAAGCGCAAGUGACGGUACCUGCAGAAGAAGCACCGGCUAACUACGUGCCAGCAGCCGCGGUAUUACGUAGGGUGCAAGCGUUGUCCGGAAUUACUGGGCGUAAAGAGUUCGUAGGCGGUUUGUCGCGUCGUUUGUGAAAACCAGCAGCUCAACUGCUGGCUUGCAGGCGAUACGGGCAGACUUGAGUACUGCAGGGGAGACUGGAAUUCCUGGUGUAGCGGUGAAAUGCGCAGAUAUCAGGAGGAACACCGGUGGCGAAGGCGGGUCUCUGGGCAGUAACUGACGCUGAGGAACGAAAGCGUGGGUAGCGAACAGG
RNAcentral lists this ribosomal RNA (409 nucleotides) under bacterium. RNAcentral describes it as "partial 16S ribosomal RNA". It matches the Rfam family "Bacterial small subunit ribosomal RNA", at positions 355 to 776 of the family's 1533-position model. The record is from RNAcentral.